GGGGAUAUAGCCCAGUGAUAGAGCAUGUACUUAGCAUGCAUGAAGUCUUGGGUUCAAUUCCCAGUACCUCCU
This 72-nucleotide transfer RNA is filed under the name Callithrix jacchus (white-tufted-ear marmoset). It matches the Rfam family "tRNA". Rfam says of the family: Transfer RNA (tRNA) molecules are approximately 80 nucleotides in length. Lineage: Eukaryota; Metazoa; Chordata; Mammalia; Primates; Cebidae. The record is from Rfam by way of RNAcentral.